GUGGGGAAUAUUCCGCAAUGGACGAAAGUCUGACGGAGCAACGCCGCGUGAGUGAUGAAGGUUUUCGGACUGUAAAGCUCUGUUGUUUAGGACGAAAGUGCCUGUUGCAAAUAGUUACAGGUAUUGACGGUACUGAACGAGGAAGCCACGGCUAACUACGUGCCAGCAGCCGCGGUAAUACGUAGGUGGCAAGCGUUGUCCGGAAUUAUUGGGCGUAAAGAGCAUGUAGGCGGGAAUCUAAGUCUGUUGUGAAAAUGCGGGGCUCAACCCCGUAUUGCGAUGGAAACUGGGUUGCUUGAGUGCAGGGGAGGAAAGGGGAAUUCCCAGUGUAGCGGUGAAAUGCGUAGAUAUUGGGAGGAACACCAGUGGCGAAGGCGCCUUUCUGGACUGUGUCUGACGCUGAGAUGCGAAAGCCAGGGUAGCGAACGGGAUUAGAUACCCGAGUAGUCC
This 450-nucleotide ribosomal RNA is filed under the name uncultured bacterium. RNAcentral describes it as "partial 16S ribosomal RNA". It matches the Rfam family "Bacterial small subunit ribosomal RNA", at positions 354 to 796 of the family's 1533-position model. The record is from RNAcentral.